GACGAACGCUGGCGGCGUGCUUAACACAUGCAAGUCGAAGAUUGUGGCGAACGGGUGAGUAAUACGUAGUAACCUGCCCUCCUUUUUGGGAUAAGCCUUGGAAACGGGGUCUAAUACCGAAUAACGGGGGAUGGGCUCGCGGCCUAUCAGCUUGUUGGUGGGGUAAUGGCCUACCAAGGCGACGAUACGUAACUGGUCUGAGAGGAUGAUCGGUCAAGCUGUGACGGAGACACGGUCCAGACUCCUACGGGAGGCAGCAGUAGGGAAUAUUGGACAAUGGGCGAAAGCCUGAUCCAGCCAUGCCGCGUGUGUGAAGAAGGUCUUCGGAUUGUAAAGCACUGUAGGUUGGGAGGCGUUACCAACAGAAUAAGCAACGGCUAACUUCGUGCCAGCAGCCGCGGUAAUAC
This 407-nucleotide ribosomal RNA is filed under the name uncultured bacterium. RNAcentral describes it as "partial 16S ribosomal RNA". It matches the Rfam family "Bacterial small subunit ribosomal RNA", at positions 28 to 526 of the family's 1533-position model. The record is from RNAcentral.